CCUUAACACCAAUUCAAAUAUGAAACUAACACCCAAAGCAACGAUUACUCAUUUUCGACGAAGACUGAAGAAACCUUACUGCAUUUUUAACUUACUUAAACCCCUUGAUACUACAUUCCAAUAGUCUAUAAUUUAAAUACAACAUGAGAACUCAGUUAAUCAAACAGCAAUCAACUAGACUACAUUAUGAAUCAAGUGACUAAAAGCAUAAACAAUAUGAAAGAAAUACAGCUGUGACACAAAUAGAACUACUGGCAAGAUUGCAACACUAUCUUUAUUUCCAUCCUCAAAUUGAAAUUUAUAUCAUGAAGAAUUCCAAAUCUGUACAUAGAAAUGAAAGGAAAAGAGGUGAAGAAACGGUAAUAGCAACAACCCAUAAUUAGAAAACAAUGCAAGGAUCCAACGUGUUUGGCCAAUAAAACAGUAACAACAGUAACAAAACUCAGAACCAAGUUCAAUAGCCCAGUAAUCCCAGCAACAAAACCAGGCUCUAAGAACACAGAGUCAUACCAUUUAAUUCCAGAUGAAUCAGAAAUGUUUCAGUAAUCGAAAACUUCAAAGAUCACUAAAGAAUAUCAAUGAAACAGUAGAAAAAAAAUCAGCAGUUUGUAUUUUCUGAAUUUUUCUCUCUUUUUCUCUCUCUAGGUCUAAAAGUUCUUGCUUAAAAUGUAAGGAAGUGUGCCUUUAUAGGCGAGGAAAU
This 700-nucleotide long non-coding RNA is filed under the name Nicotiana benthamiana. Its description in RNAcentral is "long non-coding RNA (NBEN_LNC034360)". The record is from RNAcentral. Lineage: Eukaryota; Viridiplantae; Streptophyta; Magnoliopsida; Solanales; Solanaceae.